CAGCUCCCGUAACUUCAGACAACAGGAACAGUAUGUAAGAAGAGCUGCAUUAUCUAGAUUCUAGGUCUCAAAAUAUAAGGAAUGACCUCACGAGUCACAGCCCAGUUGUUCCUAUAUGUAGUUAGAAGGAGAUAUCUGAAGGAGCUCCUUGGAUCUGGCAUCCUCUCUACCGUCAACCUCACACCCCAGGCAAGAAGGGGAAAUCCCAGAGGCCAUAAUCCUCCAGCC
This is a long non-coding RNA of Homo sapiens (human), 228 nucleotides long. RefSeq lists it as uncharacterized. The transcript is spliced from 3 exons. NCBI's taxonomy places the organism in Eukaryota, Metazoa, Chordata, Mammalia, Primates, Hominidae. The record is from RefSeq and is a predicted model, not a curated record.